Felis catus (domestic cat) is the source of this 7010-nucleotide RNA transcript. It is a transcript of the gene named aquaporin 8, with no coding region annotated. The transcript has 11 exons. The record is from RefSeq and is a predicted model, not a curated record. NCBI's taxonomy places the organism in Eukaryota, Metazoa, Chordata, Mammalia, Carnivora, Felidae.
GCACAGAGCCCGACGCGGGGCUCAAACUCACAAACGGACUGGAGGAAAGCUGUAAUCUGCUGUGGCCGGCCGGGGUUAGCCGCUGAUACCCCAGUGCCCUCACGCCUGUGGUCUUAAGGGAAAGAAACCCAGCUCCAACUGGCUGAAGAAGGACAAAGACCUGACCGGGGAAAAUCCAGCCUGGCUGGCUCGGGGCCCGGUGGGCGGACAAAAUAUCGAGCUCAUCCACCUUGUGCUCCGUUUGCUUUCUUCUCCUCAGUAAUUACCACGAGAUGUGUGUCCUUUGGGGCACUGCACAACUUCCCAGACCUCGGAGUCAGGUUGGAGACCCUCUUACCUACAUUUCCUCUUCCACACUGAUUUUUAUGCAGUACUUGCUUUUUAUUAUGGCAACUCCCAUAAAGCCAGCUUUGCAAAGAUAUGAUGUUAUUGGAGAGAAUGUAGGGCCAUUACAGCCUUGAACGACCUUGAGCUAGUAAUUCACAUGGUGUUUGACAGAUAUCGAGAAUCACUAUAUUUCCCUUGAAGUUUUAUAAUCCCCCAAAGCCCCUGUGAGUUCAGCGUGGCUCUCUGGGGUGCCCUGGUACACAAUCCGAGAAGCUCAGGUUAAUUUAACAAGGAAGUCAGAAGCAGUUGGUCUUGGGGUUAGUCUGGUGGCUUGGUGAUAUCAUCAAAGAUCCACCCUUCUGGCAAGUUGGACCUCUUGGUCUCAAGACAGCUGCCAUGGCACCAACAUCACAUUCUUGCCCCACAGUGCAGCUAUCAAAGUGAGAAAGGAAGGAAGAGCAGUGUGACAGGAUGACAUAGAACUGCUUUUAUACUCCAUCUGGACCUGGUGGUGGAUGGCAGACAGGUGUCUACAGCUGCAGAGACAUCUUGAACUAAACAAGGAUCUAAAGCGAGAUAAAAAUCAGAGGCCUCCGUCAUGUCAACCAGACCUGGGAUUGGAAGACUGAGAAGUUCGCCAAGCUAAGCAAGUUCUCAAGGAGACACUAUCUCACUAGCCCACCGGUUAUCCUAGUCGUUUGCGGGGGGACCAGUGUGUUGCUUAUGGAGACAGCAGUCCGCACGAGAAAUCUUGAGUUGUGGAAAUAUGUUGUGCCUGAAUGACAUUCGGGUUUUCUUUGGAGAGCCACUGUUUUUGGAGCUACCAAGACAGUCCCUGGAUCUAGCGAGGGAGGCUGUGUCUGGAGAGGUGACAUCUAGUUGACCAGGGGUCACGGGAGAGACACCCGAUCUGAGAUUUAAACGUGCAGUGCAGGUUGGCCCAGGGGGCAAAACAGGACUUCAAACAGAGGGAACAGCGCUGGCAGGGAGGGGAGUGGGCACAUGGCUCAUCGGACUGUUUAGGGUUUGUGUGACCAGAGGUGAGUCAGGGUAGGACUCACAGCCUGUGUGGCCGGCUCUGGGAGUUUGGUUUUGCCCUGAAAGCCAUAGGAAGGGCUGAAAGGUUUUCACGCAGGGAAGGAUGUGAUGAGGUUGAUAGUCUGGGGAACAACAGCAUCUAUCAUGUGGCAGAAAUUUCUGGUGCUCACAAAAAGCCUUUCUUUUUCCUCCUGGGCACGUGGUUAGACUACAUUUCCCAGACUCCUUUGUGGUCAUGUGAAGCCAUAUGACGGACUUCUGGUCAACCAAACAUGGAGGAGAGGGGUAUUUGCCAUUUUAGGCCUAGCCCGUAAAAACGUCCCCCACGUCCUCUCUCCCCCAUCUGCUGGCUGGUGCAGAAGAUCUGGGGACCUAGAUCGUGGGUCUCCAAGAUGGAAAUGGCUUGGAUCCCUGAGUCACCGUGUCAUAAAGGGCCUGCUAUUGUGUCAACAGUGAAUCGAUUUUUAUUAUGUUAACCCAUCUAAAUGUUGGGUUCUUUUUUACAAGGGUUAGCCUACUCUGACGAAAGCCACAGCAAUAGGUGCUCUUGAUGGGGCCUGCUCUGAAUCUGCCACUGUCUCAUUUAAUCCACACGACAGCCUUAUGGGGAUGGGGGACGCCGUCUUCCCACUUCUCCAAAAGGAAACGCUGGGGCUGAGGGAGAAGCCAGCAGGCGAUGGUGAAGAAGCCCGAUCCCCACCUGCACCCAAGUGCUGAACCGUGCCCUGCUGGCUCCCAGUACAAGAGGAACAGAUUAAAAUUGGGUGAGGCAAGGGGACCAGAUGAGGAGCUAUAGUGACCCCAGCUGGGAGUUCCUGCCUGUGACGCGGGGAAGGUAUCAGAUGAUUGUAAAUGUUAACCGAGAGAAUGCACGUGACGUGUCCAGUGCAGGGCCUAGAACCUGGCAGGUGUAUCCUGAACGUUUGAUUUUUUUUUUUUUUUUCAAGACACUAAGCAAGAACUCGCGGACGCCUGGGUGAAACCAGGAGAGACAUGUUCUGGAAGCAGCUCUUGGCAGGACUUGGGCAAAGCAUGAAGGAGAUGGGGAAGCACAAGGUUGGACAACUGCCUUGUGUUGCCAUUUGCAGGGACACGGGAGGAAAGGUAUGAGACAUCUUGUACAGCGUGAGGUGGGUACAGAGGAGGGAGAGCACAGGGCUCAAGAUAAUCAACCCUAAACCUUGCGAGAUGUGCAGAUAUUCAAAAGAGGGGCUGCAUUCCUGAGCCUCCAGCUGAAAAGAGCUUUUAGCAAACUAUCAGACCCUGGAUGGAUUCGCUCUGUCCUGGAGUGGAUACUUUUUAUCUACACAACCUUGGGCAAGUUCCGCAACUCUUUGUGCCUUGGUUUAUCUUUGUGCCCUGAAGAUAGGGAUAAGAGAUCAGGGGGUUGUUGUGAAUAUAUGCAGUGUGCUCAGCACAGUGUUAGAUAUGCAGUAGGAGUAGUAAAUGGGAGGCGUUUUCACUACAUUCUCUUCUCCCUGACGUUAUUUCUCUAUGGAUCUCUAUCUGCACAGAAAAAUACUCAGGUAACAGAUAUGAGCACUGAAAGAAUCUUUGCCCAUCUUAUUCACUGCUACGUUUCCAAUUAGCUCUUAGAACUAGUUCAUGGCAGGUACUUAAAUAUUUGUUGAAUGGAUGAAUGAAGGAAUGCAUCUCUCUCCUCUUUUUUUCUUCCUCCAUCCCUCCCUUCCUUUCUUCCCUCCCUCCUUUCUUCCUUCCCUCUUUCCAUCCAUCCAUCCAUCCAUCCAUCCAUCCACCCGUCCAUCCACCAUCCACCCAUCAUCCAUCCAUCCAUCUUAAAAAGAUACCAGACUGUAGUGGCUUAACCCACAAGUUCUUUUUCCAAUUGUGGUAAAAUACACAUAACAUAAAAUCUACCAUUUUUAACCACUUUUAAGUGUAUAGUUCAGUGGCAUUAAUUACAUUAACACUGUUGUGUAACCAUCCAUCUCUACGACGUUUUCAUCUUCCCAAACUGAAACUCUGUAGCCAUUGAACAGCAACUCCCCAUUCCCCUCUGCCCCCCGCUCCCAGCCCCUGGCAACCACCGUCUCCUUUCUGUCUCUAGGACUCUGACUACUCCAGAGACCUCCUAUAAGUGGAAUCAUGCAGCAUUUGUCCGUUGUGACUCAACCCACACGUUUUGCAAUCACAAAACCUAUGUGACCCUGGGAAACGUAACUUUCCUGAAUCUCCAACUCCCCUUGUGGAAAAGUAGGAGUACCUACGGUCGCGGUUGCGGGCUUACUGUUGAAGUGAGAUAAUGCAUAUAAAUAAGGUUCUUAGCCCGGUGCCUGGCAAGUAGAAGGCUUGUAGAAAUUGCUCAAUAAAUACUUGUUACACGUAAAUAUCUGUUCUUCAUUAGUAGACACCGGUGUUGUGCUGAUCGUGUGUCUGCCAGUGUCAUAAGCUCUUUGUCGUAUGAACUCAUUCAAACCACAAACGCCCCUAUGUCGUCGGUUCUAUCGCUAUCGUUCACGCUUCACAGGGGAGAAUACUGCGGCGCAGAGGGGACAGCAACACAGGGCUCCGGAGCCAGUUCACGGCAGAAACGGACUUGGGAUCCAGGCAGCCUGUUUCCGAGGCCCGCAGGCUUUCCCGCGACGCACGUUGUUACCGUGGCUGCCGCUGGCUGUCGGGGAGCCUCCGCAGCCCUUUAAAAGGAGCAGAGCCCGAAGUAGAAUGAGCAGCCCCGGUCUGAGAUAAGAGCCCGACAGCAGGUGCACUCUCCCAGCCAGCUCAGGCAAGAGCAGGUGCGCGGGUCACUCGGGCCCUGAUGUCUGCGGAGGGGGCUGUGUCUGCGCGUGACGCGGAGUUUGUCGGUGGCAAGGGGAAGCAGCCAAGCAUGGGAGGCAGGUGUCGUGAAUCCUGGUAUGAGCGGUUCCUGCAGCCCUGUCUGGUCGAACUGCUGGGCUCUGCCCUCUUCAUCUUCAUCGGGUGCCUGUCGGUCAUUGAGAACGGGCCGGACACUGGGCUGCUGCAGCCGGCCUUGGCCCACGGGCUGGCCCUGGGCCUCAUCAUCGCCACACUGGGGAAUAUCAGUGGUGGGCACUUCAACCCUGCGGUGUCCUUGGCGGCCAUGCUGAUCGGAGGCCUCAACCUGGUGAUGCUCCUUCCCUACUGGAUCUCCCAGCUGUGUGGGGGGCUGAUCGGGGCCGCCUUGGCCAAGGCAGUGAGUCCUGAAGACAGGUUCUGGAACGCGUCUGGGGCGGCCUUUGUGACGGUCCAGGAGCCGGAGCAGGUGCGGGGGGCGGUGGUGGUGGAGCUGAUCCUGACGGCCCUGCUGGCACUGGCUGUUUGCAUGGGCGCCAUCAACGAGAAGACGCAGGGCCCUCUGGCUCCAUUCUCCAUUGGCUUUGCCGUCACCGUGGACAUCCUGGCCGGGGGUGCUGUGUCCGGAGCCUGCAUGAAUCCUGCCCGUGCCUUUGGACCUGCUGUGGUGGCCAAUCACUGGGACUUCCACUGGAUCUACUGGCUGGGCCCGCUCCUGGGGAGCCUCCUCGUAGGAGUGCUUAUCAGGAUCAGAGCUUUCCCUGGUACCGAGACCCAGAAAAAAACCUUUUCCUAUGGAUCUUCAUAAAGGCAAUGUAAUGUGAUAUAAAAGACACAUCACUACUCAUUUUGACUUUCAUGCUCCAGUUGGAAAAAGACAGAAUGCAAGAUGUCUUGGCCUAAGACGGUGGGUGGGACCUUCUAUUUCCUCAGAACAGAGACAGAGUUCAGGAAGUCAGUUUAACCCAUGUCCAAACAGCCCAUUUACCAUCAGGAAUACGGGUAGGGGAACCCCGGUUCCACCUCUGCGCGACCCCAGACGUACGAGACUUCCACAGGACCCGCGUGUUCCGCUCGAGAUGGAAUGAAUCCUGCACCCUUCCCGCCAUCGGGCACGUCUGAGAGGCGCAGGUACAAUUUGGGGCAAUUCGGAAAAACUCUUUUGCAGGUGAAAGUGAUUUUCUCACAGUCGAGUCACGACCUUCGGCAAGUGACACGAAGGUAACCGGCACUAAUGACCUUUUGCCGCGACACUUCCUCUGUCAGACUGCAGGUUCCUGGAGCACGGGCACCGUGUCUUCUUCCACUUCCGCAUCCCCUCACUGUGCCUGGGAGACGGCCUUACACAUAGCAGUACUUAAUAAAUACGUAUGAAUAAAUCAUCUACUUUCCUGAAUCAUGCUUCAAUAUAGUUAUCAGUCCUGUGUACACAUCGCUAAGUGGUGAUUCCUAUCAAUGUGCAUCUUCUCUAGCACUGGGAUUCCAGAGCAUCUACGCACUAUCAGCACACGCCCACGGGCACGCACGCGUCUUACUGUGCUAGGCACACUACCGACAAGACACUGCACUCACCGUUAAAAGUCUAUAACUCGGACCACACGCAGGAAGUCAACCUACUGAGGUGUGAACAAUCGUAACAUCUCCAACCAAUGUAAAUCAGAAACAUCUAUCAAUGCGUACCUGAGUCACCUGCCUUCCGGCAGGCCACACCCUAUUCUGGCACCACGAACUCGACGUCUUUCUACACCGCCCACCCUCCUUGGUAUUCUGCUGAACAGGCUUGGAAAGAUUCAAACGUCCUCAAAGGAAAAACAUGAUCUCCAGAUGUCUCCAAGUAAGAGGACACCUGACACGGGAGAGGAGGCACGCAUCCUGUUCAAUCUGGAGAGGGCCCGGUAGUUCAGGAGAGUCAGAUAAGAGCACCCGGAACAACUAAGAGGUAAGUGUGGGACUUACGAGAAACGGUAAAAGGAACCGGAUAAUUACGUAGCGGCUGGGGAAACCGCAGCCGGGGGCAGAGGGGUUCCGUCUUCAGGUGCAGAAAGGGUCAGCCUGGUGGGUGGUGGGUUGCUUCUCAUCUCCACGGAGGGUGAGGGGACAGUAACAUGGUUUCAGUGGCAGAACCUCCACCCUCGCUCUGUGGGUCAACCGGCCACCAAAAGGGCACAAUUGCAACAGACUUCUGAAGGGGGUUCAAUCUCCUUAACGACUGCCUUCAAAACCAAGAUGCAUGCGAUGUCAUCCUGAUCAGACUCCUGAAAGUUCUACCCCUAAAAGAAAUCUGGGAUCAAGUUGCAUCCAGGAUCCCACGCGGUGGACAACGGGAAACCUUCGGCAGGUCGGGUCUGCUCGAAAACAACUUUCACAGCGCGGAGGGACCUUGAAUGUUGCUGGACUCGGCAGUCCCGCAGCAGAGGCCUUGACAUGCCGAAGGGGCCGCCGUUCUGAACCCUGACAGAUGUCCUCCCCACUUGGCCAAGGGAGACGUUGAGACGCACAGAAGGAGAGGAACGGAUAGGUCAAGUCAGAGGCAGAGGUGAGGACGCGAGGCAGGCCCUUGGUUGGUUUAUGUAUAUUGUCAAGCUGGCCUCGGGAAUCACCCUCCCGAGCUAAGAGAAGAUCGCUUCCGAGGAUGAGAUCGGGUGAAACGACUAAAGGGGCACGUUAGGAGGAGGAGACGUCAACGUCAAAACGUUUUCCUGAAGUCAUCAGUCUUUCCCUUCGGCGGGCUCUCCAGGGCACAGGCGGGCGGUGGGUGUGGCAGAAGCUUCUCUCUGGAAUGAACCUCCCGGUGCUUGGCGAGGACAGAGCUCUUACUGAAACGUUUGCCACACUGGGCACAGCCGUAGGGCUUCUCUCCGGUGUGUAUCCUC